Molecule: ribosomal RNA, 465 nt
Filed under: uncultured bacterium
Lineage: Bacteria
Description: partial 16S ribosomal RNA
Rfam family: Bacterial small subunit ribosomal RNA
Source: RNAcentral
GACGAACGCUGGCGGCGUGCUUAACACAUGCAAGUCGUACGGUAAGGCCCUUUCGGGGGUACCCGAGUGGCGAACGGGUGAGUAACACGUGAGUAACCUGCCCACAACUUUGGGAUAACGCUAGGAAACUGGUGCUAAUACUGGAUAUGUGCUCCUGCUGCAUGGUGGGGGUUGGAAAGCUCCGGCGGUUGUGGAUGGACUCGCGGCUUAUCAGCUUGUUGGUGGGGUAGUGGCCUACCAAGGCGGCGACGGGUAGCCGGCCUGAGAGGGUGACCGGCCACAUUGGGACUGAGAUACGGCCCAGACGCCGACGGGAGGCAGCAGUGGGGAAUAUUGCACAAUGGGCGCAAGCCUGAUGCAGCAACGCCGCGUGCGGGAUGACGGCCUUCGGGUUGUAAACCGCGUUCAGCAGGGACGAAGCUUUUUGUGACGGUACCUGCAGAAGAAGCACCGGCUAACUACGUG